This 253-nucleotide unclassified non-coding RNA is filed under the name uncultured Alphaproteobacteria bacterium. RNAcentral describes it as "contains 16S-23S intergenic spacer region". It matches the Rfam family "Bacterial small subunit ribosomal RNA", at positions 524 to 776 of the family's 1533-position model. The record is from RNAcentral. Lineage: Bacteria; Pseudomonadati; Pseudomonadota; Alphaproteobacteria.
UACGGAGGGGGCUAGCGUUGUUCGGAAUUACUGGGCGUAAAGCGCACGUAGGCGGUGCAUCUAGUCAGAGGUGAAAGGCCUGGGCUCAACCCAGGAACUGCCUUUGAUACUGGUGCGCUCGAGUCCGGGAGAGGGUAGUGGAAUUCCCAGUGUAGAGGUGAAAUUCGUAGAUAUUGGGAAGAACACCGGUUGCGAAGGCGGCUACCUGGCCCGGUACUGACGCUGAGGUGCGAAAGCGUGGGGAGCAAACAGG